This 447-nucleotide ribosomal RNA is filed under the name uncultured Bacteroidota bacterium. RNAcentral's name for it is "bacterial SSU rRNA". It matches the Rfam family "Bacterial small subunit ribosomal RNA", at positions 202 to 650 of the family's 1533-position model. The record is from RNAcentral. Lineage: Bacteria; Pseudomonadati; Bacteroidota.
AAAGCUCCGGCGGUUAGAGAUGGGCAUGCGGGACAUUAGCUUGUUGGUAAGGUAACGGCUUACCAAGGCUGCGAUGUCUAGGGGGUCUGAGAGGACUAUCCCCCACACUGGUACUGAGACACGGACCAGACUCCUACGGGAGGCAGCAGUGAGGAAUAUUGCGCAAUGGAGGAAACUCUGACGCAGCCAUGCCGCGUGCAGGAAUAAGGCCCUAUGGGUUGUAAACUGCUUUUAUACGGGAAGAAAUAUAUCUACGUGUAGAUAUUUGACGGUACCGUACGAAUAAUGAUCGGCUAACUCCGUGCCAGCAGCCGCGGUAAUACGGAGGAUCCAAGCGUUAUCCGGAUUUAUUGGGUUUAAAGGGUCCGCAGGCGGGAAAUUAACUCAGUGGUGAAAUCCUACAGCUUAACUGUAGAACUGCCAUUGAUACUGGUUUUCUUGAGUACA